CAAACAACCCGGAGCUGUACGACACCAGCUGCUUUGUGUACCGAGACGGGAAUAUAAAGGACCGAGCUUGGAGGAAGAAAUGUGAAGAGAUCGGAACCAGCUGAUUCUUCAGCAGAGCAUCCCCUGUUGCUUCUCCUUGCUCCCCAGUCCCUGAGCUCCUGCUGCUGCACCCACAGGCCCAGAGAGGAGGACAGCUCCGAGGCAGAUGAGGGAUGGGUCCCAGGACGGUCCAUCGGCGGUGGAGCUGGCCAUCCUGGUGUCCCUGAAGAGGCCACGCCAGUCUCCAAUGGAGCAUUUCCUCCUCAGCCUUGUUCCUGCUCUGGAGAGCAGCUG
Long non-coding RNA from Oreochromis aureus, 333 nucleotides. The record is from Ensembl. Lineage: Eukaryota; Metazoa; Chordata; Actinopteri; Cichliformes; Cichlidae.